UGGGGGAUCGUUCAACGGUAGGACAGCGGACUCUGACUCCGUCAAUCUAGGUUCGAAUCCUAGUCCCCCAGCCA
RNAcentral lists this transfer RNA (74 nucleotides) under Beijerinckiaceae bacterium. RNAcentral describes it as "tRNA-Gln". It matches the Rfam family "tRNA". From Rfam's summary of the family: Transfer RNA (tRNA) molecules are approximately 80 nucleotides in length. Their secondary structure includes four short double-helical elements and three loops (D, anti-codon, and T loops). Further hydrogen bonds mediate the characteristic L-shaped molecular structure. tRNAs have two regions of fundamental functional importance: the anti-codon, which is responsible for specific mRNA codon recognition, and the 3' end, to which the tRNAs corresponding amino acid is attached (by aminoacyl-tRNA synthetases). tRNAs cope with the degeneracy of the genetic code in two manners: having more than one tRNA (with a specific anti-codon) for a particular amino acid; and 'wobble' base-pairing, i.e. permitting non-standard base-pairing at the 3rd anti-codon position. RNAcentral also lists the same sequence under 2 other names. Lineage: Bacteria; Pseudomonadati; Pseudomonadota; Alphaproteobacteria; Hyphomicrobiales; Beijerinckiaceae. The record is from RNAcentral.